This 461-nucleotide ribosomal RNA is filed under the name Staphylococcus aureus. Its description in RNAcentral is "bacterial LSU rRNA". It matches the Rfam family "Bacterial large subunit ribosomal RNA", at positions 1120 to 1581 of the family's 2925-position model. Lineage: Bacteria; Bacillati; Bacillota; Bacilli; Caryophanales; Staphylococcaceae. The record is from RNAcentral.
CAUUUAAAGAGUGCGUAAUAGCUCACUAGUCGAGUGACACUGCGCCGAAAAUGUACCGGGGCUAAACAUAUUACCGAAGCUGUGGAUUGUCCUUUGGACAAUGGUAGGAGAGCGUUCUAAGGGCGUUGAAGCAUGAUCGUAAGGACAUGUGGAGCGCUUAGAAGUGAGAAUGCCGGUGUGAGUAGCGAAAGACGGGUGAGAAUCCCGUCCACCGAUUGACUAAGGUUUCCAGAGGAAGGCUCGUCCGCUCUGGGUUAGUCGGGUCCUAAGCUGAGGCCGACAGGCGUAGGCGAUGGAUAACAGGUUGAUAUUCCUGUACCACCUAUAAUCGUUUUAAUCGAUGGGGGGACGCAGUAGGAUAGGCGAAGCGUGCGAUUGGAUUGCACGUCUAAGCAGUAAGGCUGAGUAUUAGGCAAAUCCGGUACUCGUUAAGGCUGAGCUGUGAUGGGGAGAAGACAUUG